GAUGGACUCGUUAUUUUCACAGGUUAUCCACGCCACCAUAAAGUUAAGUUUGCAGAGAAGUCCAGAUUUGGGGGGCUGGCUAAAUUGAGGAGCUCAACGUGGUGGGUGCGAUAUUUUGUUCAAACAAGUUUAGAGGAAAAUGAAAUUGCCAUCAAGAAAUUCGAGCAAGCUGCUUCGAAGAAGUCUUAUGUUCCUAGCUGCCAAAUUUUUCACUUGAAAUCUUACCGUUGAUAUAAAUACUCAAAAUUUAUACACAGUAGGACUCACGCAGAGCUCGUGGAUGAUGGUCAAGA
RNAcentral lists this unclassified non-coding RNA (293 nucleotides) under Hevea brasiliensis (rubber tree). The record is from RNAcentral. Lineage: Eukaryota; Viridiplantae; Streptophyta; Magnoliopsida; Malpighiales; Euphorbiaceae.